RNAcentral lists this ribosomal RNA (756 nucleotides) under uncultured bacterium. RNAcentral describes it as "bacterial SSU rRNA". It matches the Rfam family "Bacterial small subunit ribosomal RNA", at positions 380 to 1166 of the family's 1533-position model. The record is from RNAcentral.
AACCUGACGCUUAGACGCCGCGUGCGGGAUGAAGGCCUUCGGUUUGUAAACCGCUUUCAGUAGGGAAGAAGCGAAGUGACGGUACCUACAAAAGAAGCACCGGCUAACUAUGUGCCAGCAGCCGCGGUAAUACAUAGGGUGCAAGCGUUGUCCGGAAUUAUUGGGCGUAAAGAGCUCGUAGGUCGUUUGUUACGUCGGAUGUGAAAAUCUGAGGCUCAACCUCAGACCUGCAUUCGAUACGGGCAAACUAGAGUUUGGUAGGGGAGACUGGAAUUCCUGGUGUAGCGGUGGAAUGCGCAGAUAUCAGGAGGAACACCAACGGCGAAGGCAGGUCUCUGGGCCAAUACUGACACUGAGGAGCGAAAGCGCGGGGAGCGAACAGGAUUAGAUACCCUGGUAGUCCGCGCCGUAAACGGUGGGUACUAGUUGUGGGAACCUUCCACGGUUUCUGCGACGACGCUAACGCAUUAAGUACCCCGCCUGGGGAGUACGAUCGCAAGAUUAAAACUCAAAGGAAUUGACGGGGCCCCGCACAAGCAGCGGAGCAUGCGGCUCAAUUCGAUGCAACGCGAAGAACCUUACCAAGGCUUUGACAUAUAGCGAAAAGUGGCAGAGAUGUCAUGUCCGGAAAGGGCGCAAUACAGGUGGUGCAUGGUUGGCGGCAGCUCGUGUCGUGAGAUGUCGGGUAAGGUCCGGCAGGAGGGCAACCUCGUCUGGUUCCGCUUUAGUGGGGACCCCGGAAUGCGGGUAACGGAG